UUCCGGUUGAUCCUGCCGGACCCGACUGCUAUCAGAAUGAGAUUAAGCCAUGCGAGUCAACGUAGCAAUACGUGGCACACGGCUCAGUAACACGUAGUCAACAUAACCAGAGGACGUGGAUAAACUCGGGAAACUGAGGCUAAACCGCGAUAGACCAAGAUACCUGGAAUGGUUUUUGAUCAAAAUCUAUAUGGCCUUUGGAUUGGACUGCGACCGAUCAGGCUGUUGGUGAGGUAAUGGCCACCAAACCUGUAACCGGUACGGGCUCUGAGAGGAGGAGCCCGGAGAUGGGUACUGAGAAAAGGACCCAGGCCCUAUGGGGCGCAGCAGGCGCGAAACCUCUGCAAUAGGCGAAAGCCUGACAGGGUUAUUCUGAGUGACUUUCGCUAAGAAAGUCUUUUGACAUCUCUAAAAAUGGUGUAGAAUAAGGGGUGGGCAAGUCUGGUGUCAGCCGCCGCGGUAAUACCAGCACCCCAAAUGGUCGGGACGAUUAUUGGGCCUAAAGCAUCCGUAGCCGGUUUUACAAGUCCUCCGUUAAAUCCAACUGCUUAACAGAUGGGCCGCGGAGGAUACUAUAAGACUAGGAGGCAGGAGAGGCAAGCGGUACUCAGUGGGUAGGGGUAAAAUCCGUUGAUCCAUUGAAGACCACCAGUGGCGAAGGCGGCUUGCCAGAAUGCGCUCGACGGUGAGGGAUGAAAGCUGGGGGAGCAAACCGGAUUAGAUACCCGGGUAGUCCCAGCUGUAAACGAUGCAGACUCGGUGAUGGACUAGCUUAAUGCUAGUCCAGUGCCGCAGGGAAGCCGUUAAGUCUGCCGCCUGGGUAGUACGGUCGCAAGACUGAAACUUAAAGGAAUUGGCGGGGGAGCACCACAAGGGGUGAAGCCUGCGGUUCAAUUGGAGUCAACGCCGGG
Molecule: ribosomal RNA, 911 nt
Filed under: uncultured archaeon
Lineage: Archaea
Description: bacterial SSU rRNA
Rfam family: Archaeal small subunit ribosomal RNA
Source: RNAcentral